This 707-nucleotide ribosomal RNA is filed under the name Pseudoalteromonas sp. B949. Its description in RNAcentral is "bacterial SSU rRNA". It matches the Rfam family "Bacterial small subunit ribosomal RNA", at positions 55 to 759 of the family's 1533-position model. Lineage: Bacteria; Pseudomonadati; Pseudomonadota; Gammaproteobacteria; Alteromonadales; Pseudoalteromonadaceae. The record is from RNAcentral.
AUGCAAGUCGAGCGGAAACGAGAAUAGCUUGCUAUUCGGCGUCGAGCGGCGGACGGGUGAGUAAUGCUUGGGAACGUGCCGUAAGGUGGGGGACAACCAUUGGAAACGAUGGCUAAUACCGCAUAAUGUCUACGGACCAAAGGGGGCUUCGGCUCUCGCCUUAUGAUCGGCCCAAGUGGGAUUAGCUAGUUGGUAAGGUAAUGGCUUACCAAGGCGACGAUCCCUAGCUGGUUUGAGAGGAUGAUCAGCCACACUGGAACUGAGACACGGUCCAGACUCCUACGGGAGGCAGCAGUGGGGAAUAUUGCACAAUGGGCGCAAGCCUGAUGCAGCCAUGCCGCGUGUGUGAAGAAGGCCUUAGGGUUGUAAAGCACUUUCAGUAAGGAGGAAAGGUUAGUAGUUAAUACCUGCUAGCUGUGACGUUACUUACAGAAGAAGCACCGGCUAACUCCGUGCCAGCAGCCGCGGUAAUACGGAGGGUGCGAGCGUUAAUCGGAAUUACUGGGCGUAAAGCGUACGCAGGCGGUUUGUUAAGCGAGAUGUGAAAGCCCCGGGCUCAACCUGGGAACUGCAUUUCGAACUGGCAAACUAGAGUGUGAUAGAGGGUGGUAGAAUUUCAGGUGUAGCGGUGAAAUGCGUAGAGAUCUGAAGGAAUACCGAUGGCGAAGGCAGCCACCUGGGUCAACACUGACGCUCAUGUACCAAAG